Molecule: non-coding RNA, 98 nt
Organism: Acanthosepion pharaonis
Lineage: Eukaryota; Metazoa; Mollusca; Cephalopoda; Sepiida; Sepiidae
Source: the annotation of a GenBank genome assembly
GUUGAAACACUAGUUCCCAUACAAUCACCAAAGUUAAGCAACUUCAAGCAUGGUCAGUACAUAGAUGGGUGAUCACUUGGGAAUAGUAGGUGCUGUAA